Molecule: ribosomal RNA, 500 nt
Filed under: uncultured bacterium
Lineage: Bacteria
Description: partial 16S ribosomal RNA
Rfam family: Bacterial small subunit ribosomal RNA
Source: RNAcentral
AUUGAACGCUGGCGGCAGGCCUAACACAUGCAAGUCGAGCGGAUGAGAGGAGCUUGCUUCUUGAUUCAGCGGCGGACGGGUGAGUAAUGCCUAGGAAUCUGCCUGGUAGUGGGGGACAACGUUUCGAAAGGAACGCUAAUACCGCAUACGUCCUACGGGAGAAAGCAGGGGACCUUCGGGCCUUGCGCUAUCAGAUGAGCCUAGGUCGGAGCAGCUAGUUGGUGAGGUAAUGGCUCACCAAGGCGACGAUCCGUAACUGGUAUGAGAGGAUGAUCAGUCACACUGGAACUGAGACACGGUCCAGACUCCUACGGGAGGCAGCAGUGGGGAAUAUUGGACAAUGGGCGAAAGCCUGAUCCAGCCAUGCCGCGUGUGUGAAGAAGGUCUUCGGAUUGUAAAGCACUUUAAGUUGGGAGGAAGGGUUGUACGUUAAUACCGUGCAAUUUUGACGUUACCGACAGAAUAAGCACCGGCUAACUCUGUGCCAGCCGCCGCCGUAA